This 254-nucleotide ribosomal RNA is filed under the name uncultured bacterium. Its description in RNAcentral is "partial 16S ribosomal RNA". It matches the Rfam family "Bacterial small subunit ribosomal RNA", at positions 524 to 776 of the family's 1533-position model. The record is from RNAcentral.
UACGUAGGGUGCGAGCGUUGUCCGGAAUUAUUGGGCGUAAAGAGCUCGUAGGCGGUCUGUCGCGUCGAUCGUGAAAACUUGGGGCUUAACCCUGAGCUUGCGGUCGAUACGGGCAUGACUGGAGUUCGGCAGGGGAGACUGGAAUUCCUGGUGUAGCGGUGAAAUGCGCAGAUAUCAGGAAGAACACCCGUGGCUAAGGCGGUUCUCUAGUACGGUACUGACGCUGAGACGCGAAAGCGUGGGGAGCGAACAGG